GUUCUCUCAUUCUCUUGCUCACUCUUGGAACACUCACUCCAAGGGAAGCAAGUUGCCAGGUGGAGAGGCCCACGUGGCAAGGGACUGGGGCCUUCCAAUAACCACAUGAGUGAACUGAGAAGAAGACUCUCCCCAGUCAGCCUCCCCCACUUAGCCUGUGGGCAACCUCAUGAGAGACUUUGAAGCAGAAGCUCUUAGCUAUGCCUUGCUUGGAUUCCUGAGCCACAGAAACUCUGACAUGAUGAAUGCUCAUUGUUUUUAAGCCACUCAGUUCUGAGGUUAUUUGUUAUGCAGCAAAGUAUAACAUCUCACUCUGUCAGCCAGGCUGGAGUACUCACUGCAUCCUCCACCUCCCAGGCUCAAGAGAUCCUCCCACCUCAGCCUCCUGAGUAGCUGGGACCACAGAUUGGGAAGGCCACUCAUACUCCGGCGGUAUCUGGAGGACCUCCGGGAAGACGGCAAGGACAGCACUUCCGAAAU
Molecule: long non-coding RNA, 480 nt
Filed under: Homo sapiens (human)
Lineage: Eukaryota; Metazoa; Chordata; Mammalia; Primates; Hominidae
Description: HSALNT0334115
Source: RNAcentral